GCCAAAAAGUUCGUUUGGAUUUUUCCGUAAGCUGGAAAAACCCAAAUGAAAUUUUUGGC
This 59-nucleotide microRNA precursor is filed under the name Tursiops truncatus (common bottlenose dolphin). Its description in RNAcentral is "miRNA (ENSTTRG00000024543.1)". The record is from RNAcentral. Lineage: Eukaryota; Metazoa; Chordata; Mammalia; Artiodactyla; Delphinidae.